AAUGUGGGAAACCACGAGGCGGGCAUUCCGAGUGCCAAGGCAUUGCUUUGGCUGUUCUUUCGCCUAAAAAGCGAGAGAAGUAAGGGCCGGGUAAGACGGGUGCCAGCCGCCGCGGUAAUACAA
Molecule: ribosomal RNA, 123 nt
Filed under: uncultured archaeon
Lineage: Archaea
Description: partial 16S ribosomal RNA
Rfam family: Archaeal small subunit ribosomal RNA
Source: RNAcentral